Molecule: ribosomal RNA, 506 nt
Filed under: uncultured bacterium
Lineage: Bacteria
Description: partial 16S ribosomal RNA
Rfam family: Bacterial small subunit ribosomal RNA
Source: RNAcentral
AUUGAACGCUGGCGGCAGGCCUAACACAUGCAAGUCGAACGGUAACAGGAAACAGCUUGCUGUUUCGCUGACGAGUGGCGGACGGGUGAGUAAUGUCUAGGAAACUGCCUGAUGGAGGGGGAUAAUUACUGGAAACGGUAGAUAAUACCGCAUAACGUCGCAAGACAAAAGAGGGGGACCUUCGGGCCUCUUGACAUCGGAUGUGCCCAGAUGGGAUUAGCUUGUUGGUGGGGUAACGGCUCACCAAGGCGACGAUCCCUAGCUGGUCUGAGAGGAUGACUAGCCACACUGGAACUGAGACACGGUCCCGACUCCUACGGGAGGCAGCAGUGGGGAAUAUUGCACAAUGGGCGCAAGCCUGAUGCAGCCAUGCCGCGUGUAUGAAGAAGGCCUUCGGGUUGUAAAGUACUUUCAGCGGGGAGGAAGGGAGUAAAGUUAAUACCUUUACUCAUUGACGUUACCCGCAGAAGAAGCACCGGCUAACUCCGUGCCAGCAGCCGCGGUAA